This is a long non-coding RNA of Thalassophryne amazonica, 215 nucleotides long. RefSeq lists it as uncharacterized. The record is from RefSeq and is a predicted model, not a curated record. NCBI's taxonomy places the organism in Eukaryota, Metazoa, Chordata, Actinopteri, Batrachoidiformes, Batrachoididae. The transcript has 3 exons.
GGGCUAUUAUUGUGGCGAGGAUCAUGAGAGGAGGUGCAGCUGACAAAAGCGAUCUUAUCCAUGAAGGGGAUGAGCUGAAGGAGGUGAACGGAGUGUCACUGGAGCACAAAAAGCAAAAGGAAAUCCUUCGUCUUCUGGCGCGUUCUCAAAGUGAAGUGACUUUUAAAAUCAUUCCUGCCCCCACAAAGGAAGAGGUGUCAUCAAGUGAGAGGAAG